Molecule: long non-coding RNA, 1658 nt
Filed under: Homo sapiens (human)
Lineage: Eukaryota; Metazoa; Chordata; Mammalia; Primates; Hominidae
Description: HSALNT0331443
Source: RNAcentral
CCCCGCCCCCUGCUGGGCCUCUCUCCGCAGCCGCGAGACCCGCGCUUGGCGCAUAGGCCGGUUCUAAUUUACAAGAACACCGCGGCCUGAGGCCGGAGAGUCCCUUCAACCCGGGAGGCGGCGGCUGCAGGGAGCCGAGACGGCGCCAUUGCCCUCCAGCCUGGGCAAAAAGAGCGAAACUCCGUCUCAAAAAAAAAAAAACAUGGCCGAAACCAGGAAGCUGCGCGAUGGCGCCACGGCCCCUCUUCUCCCGGCCUGUGUCCGGAAGGUUUCCCUCCGAGGCGCCCCGGCUCCCGCAAGCGGAGGAGAGGGCGGGACGUGCCGGGGCCGGAGCUCAGAGGCCCUGGGGCCGCUCUGCUCUCCCGCCAUCGCAAGGGCGGCGCUGACCUGAGGCCUCCCCGCAAAGGUCCCCGAGGCGGCGGCGGCGGCGGGCUGUGAGAACCGCAGAAGAACGCUGGGCGCGCAGCGACCCGUCCACCCCCGCGAGGAGAGACUUCCACAGAGGCAGCGUUUCCACAGCCCAAAGCCACGUUUCUAGGGUGAUGCAGCCCCAGUAAGUUCCUGGCGGGGAAGCUCACGGCUGUCAAAAGAACUCUUCGCUCCAGCCGGCGCACGAAGGGGAGGAGGGCAGGAGGCUGCCGCCCGCACAGGUCAUCUGAUCACGUCGCCCGCCCUAGUCUGCUUUUGUGAAUCUCCACUUUGUUCAACCCCCACCCGCCGUCUCUCCCUCCCUGCGCCUUCCCUCUAACCUUAAAGACCCAGCUACCUCUACGCAAAUGGUAGCUACCUCUGCGCAGGUGGAAGUUGAGUUCGGUUCACGCGGGACCCUCUUCCCUGUGGCAAGCUGCUGAAGGAGACCUGCUGUUACUGCUUUAGCUGCUGUUCUGCUUAAUCUCAGACAGCUGGAAGGUAGUAUUCCGCCCUCGCCCAGCCACCCGAGUAAAUGAGAAUGAUGACUGACUGAGACCCUGAUGGUGGUGGCUUAGGCUUAAUCUCAGACAGCUGGAAGGUAGUAUUCCGCCCUCACCCAGCCACCCGAGUAAAUGAGAAUGAUGACUGACUGAGACCCUGAUGGUGGUGGCUUAGGCAAGAUGAACGUCUGAAAUGGAGGCCCAGGGCUGCCACGAUGGCUCUGUAGUCAUCAGGGAGGGAGCUCCUUUUAUCUUGUUACCUACUCCCCUCUUGUGCCCCUUUCUUCCCUUGAUCUAAGAAGGUUGCUCCGGAUCUCGCCAUCUGGCCUGCGUUCAAUCAGCAGAAGCUUCCUGGAGGAGCAGGAGGAGGCACUGUGCUCGCAUCACAUACCAGUGGCCAGAAGUUGGCUUCAGGGAAGCUCAGGAAAUAGGAUGCGAGAAGCCAUGAGACCUCCCCAAACUCUGCAGUAACAGAGUCAACAAGACAAUGGCUUAAAGAUGGAGAGACCAGUUGAUCGGUCACACAAGCUGUUCCACGAUAAUUCUUGUGUCAGAAGGGGAGGCUGACUACCAGGACCACUGGCCCCACUUCCAGCCCCUCCAUUCUGAGUACACUUCAGAGGGCUCUGGCAGGCACGUGCCCAGCUUCCUUUCAAGUCUCUGGCCAAUGCAAUGUGAGCAGAAGUGAAGGGGCAACUUUCAGGUGAUGACUUGGAAAAGAAAGCUUAGUCCUCUGCUUCUCCUGUC